UUACGGGUGGCUGCAGUGAGGAAUAUUGCACAAUGGGGGGAACCCUGAUGCAGCAACGCCGCGUGGAGGAUGACGCAUUUCGGUGUGUAAACUCCUUUUAUAUGUCAAGAAAAUGACGGUAGCAUAUGAAUAAGCACCGGCUAACUCCGUGCCAGCAGCCGCGGUAAUACGGAGGGUGCAAGCGUUACUCGGAAUCACUGGGCGUAAAGGACGCGUAGGCGGGUUGGAAAGUCAGGUGUGAAAUACUACAGCUUAACUGUAGAACUGCACUUGAAACUUCUAAUCUAGAGUAUGGGAGGGGGAGAUGGAAUUAGUGGUGUAGGGGUAAAAUCCGUAGAUAUCACUAGGAAUACCUAAAGCGAAGGCGAUCUCCUGGAACAUUACUGACGCUAAGACGUGAAAGCGUGGGGAGCAAACAGGAUUAGAUACCCUAGUAGUC
RNAcentral lists this ribosomal RNA (439 nucleotides) under uncultured bacterium. RNAcentral's name for it is "partial 16S ribosomal RNA". It matches the Rfam family "Bacterial small subunit ribosomal RNA", at positions 339 to 795 of the family's 1533-position model. The record is from RNAcentral.